ACGGAGGAUUCGAGCGUUAUCCGGAUUUAUUGGGUUUAAAGGGAGCGUAGGCGGACGCUUAAGUCAGUUGUGAAAGUUUGCGGCUCAACCGUAAAAUUGCAGUUGAUACUGGGUGUCUUGAGUACAGUAGAGGCAGGCGGAAUUCGUGGUGUAGCGGUGAAAUGCUUAGAUAUCACGAAGAACUCCGAUUGCGAAGGCAGCUUGCUGGACUGUAACUGACGCUGAUGCUCGAAAGUGUGGGUAUCAAACAG
RNAcentral lists this ribosomal RNA (251 nucleotides) under uncultured bacterium. Its description in RNAcentral is "partial 16S ribosomal RNA". It matches the Rfam family "Bacterial small subunit ribosomal RNA", at positions 525 to 775 of the family's 1533-position model. The record is from RNAcentral.